GGUUCUAUGGUGUAAUGGUUAUCACUCUGGACUUUGAAUCCUGUGAUCUGAGUUUAAGUCUCUAUAGAACCA
RNAcentral lists this transfer RNA (72 nucleotides) under Poecilia formosa (Amazon molly). It matches the Rfam family "tRNA". From Rfam's summary of the family: Transfer RNA (tRNA) molecules are approximately 80 nucleotides in length. Their secondary structure includes four short double-helical elements and three loops (D, anti-codon, and T loops). Lineage: Eukaryota; Metazoa; Chordata; Actinopteri; Cyprinodontiformes; Poeciliidae. The record is from Rfam by way of RNAcentral.